GAUGAACGCUGGCGGCGUGCUUAACACAUGCAAGUCGAACGAUGAAGCCCAGCUUGCUGGGUGGAUUAGUGGCGAACGGGUGAGUAACACGUGAGUAACCUGCCCUUAACUCUGGGAUAAGCCUGGGAAACUGGGUCUAAUACCGGAUAGGAGCGUCCACCGCAUGGUGGGUGUUGGAAAGAUUUAUCGGUUUUGGAUGGACUCGCGGCCUAUCAGCUUGUUGGUGAGGUAAUGGCUCACCAAGGCGACGACGGGUAGCCGGCCUGAGAGGGUGACCGGCCACACUGGGACUGAGACACGGCCCAGACUCCUACGGGAGGCAGCAGUGGGGAAUAUUGCACAAUGGGAGCAAGCCUGAUGAAGCGACGCCGCGUGAGGGAUGACGGCCUUCGGGUUGUAAACCUCUUUCAGUAGGGAAGAAGCGAAAGUGACGGUACCUGCAGAAGAAGCACCGGCUAACUACGUG
This 466-nucleotide ribosomal RNA is filed under the name uncultured bacterium. Its description in RNAcentral is "partial 16S ribosomal RNA". It matches the Rfam family "Bacterial small subunit ribosomal RNA", at positions 28 to 507 of the family's 1533-position model. The record is from RNAcentral.